This 303-nucleotide ribosomal RNA is filed under the name uncultured bacterium. Its description in RNAcentral is "partial 16S ribosomal RNA". It matches the Rfam family "Bacterial small subunit ribosomal RNA", at positions 507 to 808 of the family's 1533-position model. The record is from RNAcentral.
AGCAGCAGCCACGGUAAUACGUAGGUGGCAAGCGUUGUCCGGAAUUAUUGGGCGUAAAGCGCGCGCAGGCGGAUCAGUUAGUCUGUCUUAAAAGUUCGGGGCUUAACCCCGUGAGGGGAUGGAAACUACAUGUCUUGGGUACAGGAGAGGAAAGCGGAAUUCCCAGUGUAGCGGUGAAAUGCGUAGAUAUUGGGAGGAACACCAGUGGCGAAGGCGGCUUUCUGGACUGCAACUGACGCUGAGGCUCGGAAGCCAGGGGAGCGAACGGGAUUAGAUACCCCCGUAGUCCCUGUCUCUUAUACC